UACGGAGGGGGCUAGCGUUGUUCGGAAUUACUGGGCGUAAAGCGUACGUAGGCGGCUUUGUAAGUUAGAGGUGAAAGCCCGGGGCUCAACUCCGAAUUGCCUUUAAGACUGCAUCGCUUGAAUCAUGGAGAGGUGAGUGGAAUUCCGAGUGUAGAGGUGAAAUUCGUAGAUAUUCGGAAGAACACCAGUGGCGAAGGCGACUCACUGGACAUGUAUUGACGCUGAGGUACGAAAGCGUGGGGAGCAAACAGG
RNAcentral lists this ribosomal RNA (252 nucleotides) under uncultured bacterium. RNAcentral's name for it is "partial 16S ribosomal RNA". It matches the Rfam family "Bacterial small subunit ribosomal RNA", at positions 524 to 776 of the family's 1533-position model. The record is from RNAcentral.